GCCUGUAGUCCCAGCUACUUGGGAGGCUGAGGUAAAUCGCUUGAGCCCAGGAGUUCUGGGCAGUACUGCAGUAUGCUGAUCAGGUGUCCUCAGCAUCAAUAUGGUGACCUCCCAUAACAAAGGAGCACCAGGUUGCCUAAGUAGGAGUGAACUGGCCCAGGUUAGAAAUGGAGCAGGUCAAAACUCCUAUGUUCAUCAAUAGUAGGAUCACGACUGUCCCAAUGUUUUCCGAGGCCAAGACAGGAGGAUCACUUGAGGCAAGUUCAAGACUGCUUGGGCAACAUAGAGACCUCAUCUCU
RNAcentral lists this signal recognition particle RNA (299 nucleotides) under Aotus nancymaae (Ma's night monkey). Its description in RNAcentral is "Metazoan signal recognition particle RNA (ENSANAG00000007836.1)". The stretch from base 1 to 254 matches the Rfam family "Metazoan signal recognition particle RNA". From Rfam's summary of the family: The signal recognition particle (SRP) is a universally conserved ribonucleoprotein. It is involved in the co-translational targeting of proteins to membranes. The eukaryotic SRP consists of a 300-nucleotide 7S RNA and six proteins: SRPs 72, 68, 54, 19, 14, and 9. The record is from RNAcentral. Lineage: Eukaryota; Metazoa; Chordata; Mammalia; Primates; Aotidae.